CGCAUCUGUGCAUGCAGCAUAUCAAUAAGCGGAGGAAAAGAGGGCCAUUACCUACGCUUAGGAUGUUGAAGAUGUAGCACAUCAUACACGCAUGACACGCUGCAUAUCAAUAAGCGGAGGAAAAGAGGGCUAUUACCUACGCUUAGGAUGUUGAAGAUGUAGCACAUCAUACCCGCAUCUGUGCAUGCAGCAUAUCAAUAAGCGGAGGAAAAGAAACUAACAAGGAUUCCCCUAGUAACGGCGAGUGAAGCGGGAAGAGCUCAAAUUUGAAAUCUUAAAGGGUUUCCCUUUACGAAUUGUAGUUUAAAGAAGUGUUUUCUGUUGAGGUUUUGGUAAAAGUUCUUUGGAAUAGGACAUCAUAGAGGGUGAGAAUCCCGUAUUUGACCUUUACUUUCAACUUUGUGAUACACUUUCAAAGAGUCGGAUUGUUUGGGAAUGCAGUCCAAAAUGGGUGGUAAAUUUCAUCUAAAGCUAAAUAUUGGCGAGAGACCGAUAGCGAACAAGUACCGUGAGGGAAAGAUGAAAAGAACUUUGAAAAGAGAGUUAAACAGUACGUGAAAUUGUCAAAAGGGAAGCGUUUGACACCAGUGUUGUUUUUCUGAAAAUCAAUUAAAGAACUGUUUAUGCUAAGUUGUUUAGACUUCUAUCAGCUAACUGUUUAGUUUUGAGCUUUUCUUUAAUGCACUUUUCAGUUAACAAGGUCAACAUCAAUUUCUUUUGCUGUAAAAAAGCUUGAGGAAGGUGGCUUGAGAUUCGUCUUAAGUGUUUAUAGCCUCUUGCCUAUGCAGUCGGAGAGAUUGAGGUCUGCAGCGUAGAUCCUUCGGGGCUAAAUGCAUUUGUGCUAAGUUAUAGCAUUUUAUAGACAACUUGUUGACUAUGAUUUGUCUUGUAGCUUACUCGCUUAUGUUAUUUUACCUACGCUUAGGAUGUUGAAGAUGUAGCACAUAU
This 948-nucleotide ribosomal RNA is filed under the name uncultured Neocallimastigales. RNAcentral describes it as "partial large subunit ribosomal RNA". The stretch from base 149 to 948 matches the Rfam family "Eukaryotic large subunit ribosomal RNA", at positions 1 to 635 of the family's 3401-position model. The record is from RNAcentral. Lineage: Eukaryota; Fungi; Neocallimastigomycota; Neocallimastigomycetes; Neocallimastigales.